AAAUUUUUUAAAUGGGAAAAAAAGUGAAAAGGAAAUGUCAUAAUAAGAGUGAUGGUUGGCAGAGGUGGGCCGACACACACGCACACGCAAGAGACGUGACUGAAGAAGAACCCAAAGUCUUUGGGAAACAAAAAUGAUGACGGAGA
Molecule: non-coding RNA, 146 nt
Organism: Caenorhabditis elegans
Lineage: Eukaryota; Metazoa; Nematoda; Chromadorea; Rhabditida; Rhabditidae
Source: Ensembl